UGGGGAAUUUUGGACAAUGGGCGCAAGCCUGAUCCAGCCAUGCCGCGUGCAGGAUGAAGGCCUUCGGGUUGUAAACUGCUUUUGUACGGAACGAAAAGACUCCUUCUAAUAAAGGGGGUCCAUGACGGUACCGUAAGAAUAAGCACCGGCUAACUACGUGCCAGCAGCCGCGGUAAUACGUAGGGUGUGAGCGUUAAUCGGAAUUACUGGGCGUAAAGCGUGCGCAGGCGGUUAUAUAAGACAGGUGUGAAAUCCCCGGGCUCAACCUGGGAACUGCAUUUGUGACUGUAUAGCUAGAGUACGGCAGAGGGGGAUGGAAUUCCGCGUGUAGCAGUGAAAUGCGUAGAUAUGCGGAGGAACACCGAUGGCGAAGGCAAUCCCCUGGGCCUGUACUGACGCUCAUGCACGAAAGCGUGGGGAGCAAACA
RNAcentral lists this ribosomal RNA (427 nucleotides) under uncultured bacterium. RNAcentral describes it as "bacterial SSU rRNA". It matches the Rfam family "Bacterial small subunit ribosomal RNA", at positions 355 to 774 of the family's 1533-position model. The record is from RNAcentral.